GUAGGUGGCAAGCGUUGUCCGGAAUUAUUGGGCGUAAAGCGCGCGCAGGCGGUUCUUUAAGUCUGAUGUGAAAGCCCACGGCUCAACCGUGGAGGGUCAUUGGAAACUGGAGAACUUGAGUACAGAAGAGGAAAGCGGAAUUCCACGUGUAGCGGUGAAAUGCGUAGAGAUGUGGAGGAACACCAGUGGCGAAGGCGGCUUUCUGGUCUGUAACUGACGCUGAGGCGCGAAAGCGUGGGGGAGCAAACAGGAUUAGAUACCCGAGGUAGUCCACGCCGUAAACGAUGAGUGCUAAGUGUUAGGGGGGUUUCCGCCCCCGUUAGUGCUGCAGCUAACGCAUUAAGCACUCCCGGCCUGGGAGUACGGCCGCUAGGCUG
RNAcentral lists this ribosomal RNA (377 nucleotides) under uncultured organism. RNAcentral describes it as "partial 16S ribosomal RNA". It matches the Rfam family "Bacterial small subunit ribosomal RNA", at positions 527 to 896 of the family's 1533-position model. The record is from RNAcentral.